UGGUUUGGCCAUGCCACCCUGAACAAGCCUAAUAUCUGAUCUCGGAAGCUAAGCAGGGUCGGGCCUGGUUAGUACUUGGAUGGGAGACCACCUAGGAAGACUAGGUGCUGUAGGCA
This is a non-coding RNA of Pteropus alecto (black flying fox), 116 nucleotides long. Lineage: Eukaryota; Metazoa; Chordata; Mammalia; Chiroptera; Pteropodidae. The record is from Rfam.